ACGAACGCUGGCGGCGUGCUUAACCCAUGCAAGUCACACGCUGAAGCUCAGCUUUUGUUGGGUGGAUGAGUGGCGAACGGGUGAGUAACACGUGAGUAACCUGCCCCCUUCUUUGGGAUAACGCCCGGAAACGGGUGCUAAUACUGGAUAUUCACUGGUCUUCGCAUGGGGGUUGGUGGAAAGGGUUUUUCUGGUGGGGGAUGGGCUCGCGGCCUAUCAGCUUGUUGGUGGGGUGAUGGCCUACCAAGGCUUUGACGGGUAGCCGGCCUGAGAGGGUGACCGGUCACAUUGGGACUGAGAUACGGCCCAGACUCCUACGGGAGGCAGCAGUGGGGAAUAUUGCACAAUGGGCGCAAGCCUGAUGCAGCGACGCCGCGUGAGGGAUGGAGGCCUUCGGGUUGUGAACCUCUUUCGCUCAUGGUCAAGCCGCAACAAUGGUUGUGGUGAGGGUAGUGGGUAAAGAAGCGCCGGCUAACUACGUG
This 482-nucleotide ribosomal RNA is filed under the name uncultured bacterium. Its description in RNAcentral is "partial 16S ribosomal RNA". It matches the Rfam family "Bacterial small subunit ribosomal RNA", at positions 29 to 507 of the family's 1533-position model. The record is from RNAcentral.